This is a long non-coding RNA of Callithrix jacchus (white-tufted-ear marmoset), 3087 nucleotides long. NCBI's taxonomy places the organism in Eukaryota, Metazoa, Chordata, Mammalia, Primates, Cebidae. The record is from Ensembl.
CCGGGCUCUGCCCCGCACGCCGCAACCCCGAGGCAGCGAGAAGGGCGGGGAGGUGGACGCCGGGCGCCGAGGAGCCGGUACGGAGGGCGGGAGGAGGAAGAGGACAGAAAAGUUUGCACAGGAAGGAGCCGCCUACAGCCGGCUCUCGCUCCAGCGGGCGCUCGGAGCUGGGCCGCCCUCGGUGCCCGCGAACCUACCCAGCUGCUCCGCCCCCAAGCCCCAGUCAAUGGCCAGGAUGGCAGCAGGAGGUCCCCUCCAUGGAGCGCUGUUCACCCAGCAAUCUGGCAGCAGAAAAGCCUAGUUUGGGCUUCAGGAGCUUGGUUGCAAGGUCCCCACAAUGAAUGUGGAAAGGGCAGCCCUAGCGGGAGAUACCAGGAUUUCUGCUGAGAAGGUGAGCCCAGUAUAAUCACAAGAGUCCUUGAAUGGGGAAGUAGAAGGCAGAAGAGUGAGGCCAGAGAGAUGGCGUAAUGAGAAAGACUCAAACUGCCUUUGCUGGCUUUAAAGAUUAAAGGAGUGCACAAAAUAAGAGAUGAGGGCAGCCCGUCUCUACUAAAAAUACAAAAAAUUAGCUGGGCAUGGUGGUGCGUGCCUGUAAUCCCAGCUACUCAGGAGGCUGAGGCAGGAGAAUUGCCUGAACCCAGGAGGUGGAGGUUGCAGUGAGCCGAGGAGAUUGCGCCAUUGCACUCCAGCCUGGGUAACAAGAGCAAAACUCUUGUUACAACAACAACAACAACAACAACAACAAAAGAAAUGAGGGCAGCCUCUAGAAGCUGAAAGAGGGAAGAUCAUCCCCUGGAGCUUCCAGAAGUAAUGCAGCCCUGGCAACAGUGAUUUUAUUUCAGUGAGGCCCAUUUCAGACUUCUAACCUCCAGAACUGCAAGAUGAUAAAUCUGUGUUUUCAGCCACUAAGUUUACUGUAAUUUGCUUGCAGCAACAGGAAACUAACAGAGAGAUAGAACCAAACGAAUGAAUAAAUGAAUGAUAUAAUGUCAGGAAACAGUAAGUGCUCAGAUGAAAACUAAAGCAGGGCAACGAGAUGUGCAGUGAAGGGAUCAAGUGAUGGGUGAUAUAACGGAAGCUAUGUUUUCGAAAGAUGAAUGUGAGCUCAACAGAGGUUAGAGGAGGGGAACUUGGAAGCAGAGCCAAGUGAUGUAGUCACAUGACAUGCCUGAGACCCCAGAAGCAGGCAGGUCUAGGCAGGCUCGUUCAUGGGUCCCCCAAUAGCUAAAGUGGAACUGAGUUGGUUGCUUCAUGUUACACACAUAAUACUCAUAAGAGAAGCCUGGAAACAAAAUUUAAUGCAUAAGAAAGAGAAAUUGACUUGUUCUUUUAGGCUAGUCGCUUGAGAAUCCAUUAACUUCUUCCCUUAGCCACUUGGUCUAAUCCACUACUGAGUCAUUUCUUUGAUUCAUUCGUGUAUUUAUUUACUUAUUCAUUGGUUUAUUCAUUUAUUCAUUAACUUAUUCAAUCCAUAAGCAUUUCCUGAGCGCAUUACCAAGCCUUGGAAGUAAUGGCGAGAAAAGCAAAUUUGGGUUCUGCCUUCAUGAAGCACACUGUUGAUUCUGUUGAAGACUUAACACAAAAAUAUUAAACAACCACUAAGUUUGGCAUCCACUAAUCAAAACAGGCCCUAUCCUAGAGUUCCUCAACAUAGCCCUGGUUCAUUCUUCUCUCUCUAACUCCACUGCUACAGCCUUUUAUUACCUGGGAGAAGUGGUCUCUAAAGGGGGUUUCCCCACCUGCAUCAAAUCCUCCCUCUGCAACACAUGCUCCCUUCCCCAUCUGCAUCCAGACCCUCUGCAACACUUCCUCCCUAACAUAGUCAAAAUAAUAUUUUUAAGAAACUGAUCUGGCCAGGCACAGUGGCUCACUCCUGUAAUCCCAGCACUUGGGGAAGCCGAGGCAGAUAUAUCACGAGGUCAGGAUUUUAAGGCUAGCCUGACCAACACGGUGAAACCCUGUCUCUACUAAAAAUACAAAAAUUAGCCAGGUAUGGUGGUGCAUGCCUGAAAUCCCAGCUACUCAGGAGGCUGAGGCAGGAGAAUUGCUUGAACCCGGGAAGCAGAGGUUGCAGUGAGUCGACAUUGUGCCAUUGCACUCCAGCCUGAGCAACAGAGUGAGACUCUGUCUCAAAAAACAAGAAGGAGGAGGCGGAGGAGGAGGGGGAGGAGGAGGGGGAGGAGGAGGAGGAGGAGGAGGAGGAGGAGGAGGAGGAGGAGGAGGAGGAGGAGGAGGAGGAGGAGGAGGAGGAGGAGGAGGAAAGAAGAAAGAAGAAAGAAGAAAAGAAACAGAUCUGCCCCAUCACUACUCUGACUAAAAUCCUUCAAUGGCCUUUCAUUGUCUACCGAAACAGACCCAAGCCUCCCCAGGAUGCGGCAUAUUCCUCAGCCUUCUGGUAUCCUAUCUGUUUGACUCUACAACAUGUUUGUGUCUUUCCCGCACUACUGCCCUUGCCCAAGUUGCUCUCUCUGCUUAAAGUGCUUUGUAUUUCUUCCUAGACAGUCUGCUGGACAGUCUGGACAGCAAAUGUGUUGUGGCUGAGAGCACAGAGUUCAUAAGCCCAGUGGCCUACAUUUAUUUAAAUCCUGGUUCUGCCACUCAGUAUAGCUGAAUGACUUUGGGCAAGCUAGGCAACCACUCUUUGUCUCAGUCCCUCAUCUGUAAAAUGGGUGUAACAGUAUGAUAAUGGAAAUGAUCACAGGUUGGCAAUGAGCUAAUAUAUGUAAGUAAAGCACUUAGAACACUAUCUGGCAGACAUACAGAAGCAGUUAUUUUCAUGUCAGCUUGGCUCUUCUAAACUGUCAGCUUUUUAAGGUCAACGAUGUCUUCUGAUUCAGCCUUGUAUCUUCUGGACUCAGCACAUUUGUUAGUAUAUGUUAGGUGUUCAAUAUGAAUUUGUUGAAUAAAUAAAUUUAAUAAAAUGUGAUUUUAAAAGAGCAUAUGAAAGAAUUAAAAAAAUCUUAUUUUGAGCAUGUCACAAGCUAUUAUGAAGUACAUCAAUCAAAUGGAGAAAUCUUAGUGUUUUCUAUGUAUCCAUAAAUUUAAGAUCACGUUUUAACAUUUUCAACAAAAGAAUGGCAAUCUGGG